AGUCGAACGCUUCUUUCCUCCCGAGUGCUUGCACUCAAUUGGAAAGAGGAGUGGCGGACGGGUGAGUAACACGUGGGUAACCUACCCAUCAGAGGGGGAUAACACUUGGAAACAGGUGCUAAUACCGCAUAACAGUUUAUGCCGCAUGGCAUAAGAGUGAAAGGCGCUUUCGGGUGUCGCUGAUGGAUGGACCCGCGGUGCAUUAGCUAGUUGGUGAGGUAACGGCUCACCAAGGCCACGAUGCAUAGCCGACCUGAGAGGGUGAUCGGCCACACUGGGACUGAGACACGGCCCAGACUCCUACGGGAGGCAGCAGUAGGGAAUCUUCGGCAAUGGACGAAAGUCUGACCGAGCAACGCCGCGUGAGUGAAGAAGGUUUUCGGAUCGUAAAACUCUGUUGUUAGAGAAGAACAAGGACGUUAGUAACUGAACGUCCCCUGACGGUAUCUAACCAGAAAGCCACGGCUAACUACGUGCCAGCAGCCGCGGUAAUACGUAGGUGGCAAGCGUUGUCCGGAUUUAUUGGGCGUAAAGCGAGCGCAGGCGGUUUCUUAAGUCUGAUGUGAAAGCCCCCGGCUCAACCGGGG
Molecule: ribosomal RNA, 587 nt
Filed under: Enterococcus faecalis
Lineage: Bacteria; Bacillati; Bacillota; Bacilli; Lactobacillales; Enterococcaceae
Description: bacterial SSU rRNA
Rfam family: Bacterial small subunit ribosomal RNA
Source: RNAcentral